GAUGAACGCUAGCGGCAGGCCUAACACAUGCAAGUCGAGGGGCAUCGCGGUGCAGCAAUGCACUGGCAGCGACCGGCGUACGGGUGCGUAACGCGUAUGCAACCUGCCCCGCACCGGGGGAUAGCCCGCCGAAAGGCGGAUUAAUACCCCAUGGUCCCGGGGGCCCGCAUGGGCAUCCGGGUAAAGCCUUGGCGGUGCGGGAUGGGCAUGCGUGCCAUUAGCUGGCUGGUGGGGUAACGGCCCACCAGGGCAACGAUGGCUAGGGGGUCUGAGAGGAUGGUCCCCCACACUGGUACUGAGACACGGACCAGACUCCUACGGGAGGCAGCAGUGAGGAAUAUUGGUCAAUGGGCGGAAGCCUGAACCAGCCAUGCCGCGUGCGGGAUGAAGGGCCCUACGGGUUGUAAAGUUCUUUUAUAUGUGAGCAGUGCUUCUUAUAUUAACAGUAUGGGGGAGAGAGAUAUUAGCAUAUGAAUAAGCAACGGCUAA
This 489-nucleotide ribosomal RNA is filed under the name uncultured bacterium. Its description in RNAcentral is "bacterial SSU rRNA". It matches the Rfam family "Bacterial small subunit ribosomal RNA", at positions 28 to 500 of the family's 1533-position model. The record is from RNAcentral.